Molecule: non-coding RNA, 3239 nt
Organism: Manis javanica (Malayan pangolin)
Lineage: Eukaryota; Metazoa; Chordata; Mammalia; Pholidota; Manidae
Source: RefSeq, a predicted model, not a curated record
UCCCUGUGCAUCAACUAGCAACACCCUGGCACUAGGACCCCGCAGAGAGAGAACCCUGAGCCUGCGCUCUAAAGAGAGAGAUGCACCAUUUCACAACUUCAGCAAAAGCCAAAGCAGCCAACAAAGCCACAGCUAACUCAGCUACUGCUGGGCUUUGCCUUCUGGGCAGCUCGCCGGCCACUCCCCAGAAGCAGCGCAUUCUGUCCUUUCUCUUUAUAAAUCCACGUCAUUGUCUGAUCAUAAUGGAAAUCGAUCUCCAGUCACCACCAAAGGCGUAUCCAUGGCAACCUCAAGAGGAAGGACACAGAAAUGAUGCUCCAGUGGCUGCUACAGGAAACGACUCCAGCCCCUCAAGGUCCAGAAAAUGGAAAUUAAGUCUAAAUCUCUGCCUUCUCUGAUGCUUCAGGGGAAUGCCAUUUUUGUAGAGGGCCAAUCUCUCCACCUUCCUCUGAGGACCUCAUUUAGCAAUCAUCCUUUCUCUUGUGCCUUCAAUUGCACCCUCUCUUCUGGCUCUCUACACAUCAGAUGACCCACGCUUAAGAGUCUUCCAUUCCAGGAAAAACUGUCUUCAGUCUCUGCUACCUCCCCCUCAAGCUGCCACCAUCUUUCUUCCUUCCUUCCCUGCCAAACUACUCACAGGUAAAAGGACCACAAAGAGACGUCUAGACAUCAGAGUGCAGAUAUGGGACAACAUAUCUGGCUUUGGGGGUGAGAGGGGCCCAGUCUCUGCUUCAGUGAAUCCCUCAGGGGAUAUGUAGGAACAUGGGGAGGUCAAACUGGACACCCAAUCUGCCCAUCCACUAGGUGCUACUCAUACUAGCCUGAACUUCAAAAGAAAAAUUAUAUAAAGCCAAAUCCAGAGUCUCCAAGAUGGCAAGGACCCUGAGAUAGGUCUGAAUCAGUCAACUGCUCAACACUUACCUCCUAAGGGGACACUGAAGAUGCAGUUCUCACUUCCCUUGAUAAGGGACAGAUAGAUAACCCAAGUCCCCACAGCACCACCAAGUAGCCAUCAACAGGCCAGGCAACUUAGGAAUCCUCUAUUAUGAUCCCUCCCAACCUGUACCUCCAGGCAGCCACUAGCAAUGAUAGAGAUAGCAGAGUAAAACCUAGAGUGGCAGCUGUCAAUGGUAUUAUGAUUCUCCCCACUAUUCUGACUCCUCCCUAACAAGUUCUUUGUACCCACAUGUCAGUCUGGCUCAACUUAUCAAUUCUUCUCCACAUUGCCUCCUGCAUCCUCCAUUUUCCUCCAUUACCACUGUUACCACUUUGGACUGCCAUUUAAUAGCUUUGAGAAUUUAAGGCAAAUCAUUUACCAUCUUUGGUGCCUCAUCCAUAAAACAGGGUAACAGCUGCUCUGUCUACCUCACAGGAUUAUUAAAUCAAAUGAGAUCAUGCCAGUGAAAGGUCCUGCCUGUAAUGUGUAAAAUGUUAUACAUAAAUAUAAGACAUUACUAUUAUCAUCAAUCUAAGGCCUCUAUUAUUGAUAUGGGCAGCACAUCUGGCUCCCUGCCUCCAUUCGUCCCCAUUUCCAACCACAUUAUACACCACAGUAAGACAUUUAUAUGCUCUAAAAUAUUUCUUUGCCCGUAUACACACCUGCCCAAAAUAUUUCACUGAUACACCAUUUCUUACUUUAAACAAUCCUAGACCUGACAUAUGCAGUGUCACCUCUGCAUCACUGUCAGCUGCUUAGGAUGCUUUCCCUAGUCCUGCAAACCCCACCCAUCCUUCAAAGUCCAACUGCAGCCCCACUACACUCCAUGAAGAGAGACUAAAUUUAAAAGCGAGAGAUCUAAAACAAUUUCAUGAAAGAAUUAAGGACUAUUCAGUUUGGAGAAAACUUGGUAGGAACAUUUGCCAUCUAAUACUUUAAGAGUCACCCUUUUAAAGAGGGAUUACACUUUCUUUUCUCUAUGACUCUAAAAGGUAAUCUAGGACCACCAGGAUGGAAAUUGCAGAGAUGUUUUCAACAUGAAAUAUUUUCCUCUUGAGCUAUCCCAAGAUGAAAUGGGAUGCCUUAUAUAUUGUAAAUUCCCUAUUAUUAGAAAUAUUCAAGCCCAAACUGGCCAUUUGGCAAGGAUAUUUUAGAUGGAAUUCAACUAUCACAAGAGUUAACUGGACUAGAAAUUAGAUCUGAAAGGAACCAUGGGCCACCAGCAUCACGUAGAACUUGUUAGAACCAACCAGAACAAGUAUUUUAACAAGAUCCCCAGCGGUAUGCACCAUUAAAGUUUGAAAAGCACUGACCUACACUGCCCCUUCCAAACCUUUCAUUGCAAGUCUGGAAUUGUAUUUCCCGAAUUGUUUCAGAAGUUAAACAGAGGCAGCACCCAAGAAAAACUGUUUUUCCCACUCAAAUUUGGGAAACUCUUCAUACAAUACUUCCAGUGGGAAAUUCAUGCUAAAUAUCAUGAGCAUACUGAAGGCUCUCAAAUAGUCUGUAUUAGAAAAAACUUUAACAAUGAAGUUUUUCUAAACAUACUUGAGCACAAAAUGUCUUUUUUUUUUUUAAGUUAUCUCUUUUAACCCGAUGACUCGGCUUUGGCAGUACACUAGGUAAAGGUCAAUCUAGACCUCGUAGUUCCUUGACUCUCAAUACCGUAAGCAUACUGGAUUAGUAAGCGGUCAACAUGGGCUUGCUGCUCUGGUCACUGCAAUAAAUGCGAUAAGUUCCUAAAUCACUGCCUCUUUAAAAACGGGGGAGUUCCUCAUCUGUGUGAUUUAGUUAUGGUUCUGCCUGAAGACAAGAGAGAUGCGCAAGAUGAUGACUUCUCAAGGGCUAUCCUGACAGUUAAGGCCGACCCCUGGAGUGGGAGACACAGCCAUACCAAAUCCAUAUUCCCGACCCCCAAGUUCGAGUCCUUUAUGUUGGUGGCGGUGGUGGUUUUUUUCAUCUGACACAAACUUCUCAACCCUGUGCCCACAUUAAACCUGUGGCUCGGAAUGGGUUCAGGGGUGCCUCGGAGGCUCCCAAGAAAGGAGGCGGACCCUUGCAGUUCCAGAGGAAUUCGGAGGUGCAGUCACUCUGCCAGAACACCGCCAGACAGAAGAGCUCAGGUGCGUCCGACAGGCCCAGCCGUAGGUGGGCGCCCACCCGCGCCGCGGCCCACCCGUGCCGCGCCCCGCUCCGCACACCGGGCUCCGUGCCCCAGGCCAGCACUGAGCCCUCCGUUCAACGCUGGGAACCUCGCGAACUCGCGGGGGUCGGCAGCGGAGACGGUUUGCAGGAUCGCCGC